UGUUGGUUUACAGGUGGGCUUUUAUUUUUAACUUUUUUGUAAUCAUGGGUUUUUUAAAUAGAUUUUUCCAGAGAUUGUAUCAAAAAGACACUGGGAUUUAGAAGUUUUACAAAAAUGUCACGAUAACUAUUCCAGUAUACCUAACAAGCUUAUAUACCUAUAAUUAGUGUGGUAUGAAUGUAGGUACUGUAGUAAGAAGACGGCACUGGAUGUUUGUUUAAAUAAAGUGAGAGAAAAUCACCGAAUCAUUCCAUUUUAAGACUGAAUUUUUGUAUGAUUUCUAAAAUUAUUCAACAAUGAUAUGGUUCAUAAAACAAAUCUUAGGCAUAGGAAAAUCAGG
Molecule: long non-coding RNA, 340 nt
Organism: Photinus pyralis (common eastern firefly)
Lineage: Eukaryota; Metazoa; Arthropoda; Insecta; Coleoptera; Lampyridae
Exons: 4
Source: RefSeq, a predicted model, not a curated record